CCAAACGGUUCAUAACCUUUACGGUGGGAUAAUUCCUCGUCAACUUUUUUCGCUUGAACCGCUCGACACCGCUUCCCUGUUUAAGCUGUGGUUCAAGCAACGACUGGAAAUAUCAUCAUUCUUGAUUCCACUAAUCUUGGUGCUGACUGCUUUCAUUUUUAUGGGUCUCUCUUCUCGCUUGAGCCGAUAAAGAGAAGGCCCCGACUUCCUACCCCGACGUCACACUCGACGUCUACGAAAACAGUUCCAACGAAUUUGCCAGCACAUGAAGGACCAUCAACGAGUGCCAGAACUAAAAUUUCAUGGCCAACCAUCUAUAUCACAACGAAUGAAGGGAUGGGUAAGUAUCCACCCCCUCUCAGCGUGAUCCCUCGUAUAUAAGGGAAUGUAUUGAAUUUGACACCCCUACCCCCUUCAUAUUGACUUCCCUCUUUCCCCCCUUUCCCAAAAAACUAUUAUAGAGCUCUUCAGGAUCUUUUUUAUUUAACCGAUUUAUCUGGCAACGCAGCCAGAUAAAUCGGCUAAAUAAAAAAAAACCGGAAGAUCCCGAUAAAGCACGCACAACGGCUCUCCCUCAAAAACAAAAGAUGACAUGUCAGUCCAAUUUUGCGAGUUUUCACUUUUGCCGGAUUUUGAUCUGAACUUUGUUUCAAAUCAAAAUCCGGCAAAACGAAUACGACAAAAUCGAACUAGGCUACAUGUCCUUUCUCCGUGGCGGGUGGUGGCCGAAUGAAGCAGCGCCGAGAGUUUUCCGGGGCUCGGCCCGGCCUCGCCUGCCACGCAAGUUGGAUAUUUAACGCCGAUAUGCAUGCAUCAUUCUCUUUCUCUUAUUUCGUCUUGCUUAUUACCCCAACACCUUUUCAGUCCAAAGAGGGUGGGCCGGUGGGCGGUAAUACGACGCAACUGUUUAGUUAAAUAAAUGAAUGAAACUCGAUCAGCAGGGAGUAAACAGACCAAGAGAGUCGGGUGGGAGGGGGUCCUAACAUCAAGACGGACGACCAACAUAUUUUUACAAAAAUAAGAAAUAGACCUGUAUUCCGAAAAUAAAUAAGAUAAAAUUCUUGGGUAAAUUUAAUUUUUCUUAGUCAAUCGUUUUAUUGCUGGGAUGACAAAUAAUAGGAUUAUACAAGUUAACCUAUAUAAUUAUCAGCAAAAAAAAAAUCGAUAGCUAUUUUUUGGGAAGAAAUAUUCUUGUUACAAAAUCAUGCUCAUUCUCAUCCAGAAUUAAGUUAACAAGAGAUUUCAGUUGAUUUGGUGUGUUGUGAAAUUUUAGUUUGUAGGCCUAAUGAACUUCGAUUUUUAAUUUUUUUGUUAACUUCAUAUCAUAACAGCAGCUAUGUCGCAAUGAUCGAUACAAAUACGUAUAUUGCAGACAAUUAUCUAAUCAAUUGAUGGAUAAAUUUAAAUAAAUUUGAUGUCUGCACUUGUUAGAUUGUUGUUAACAAGAGUUGUUGUUAGGAAGAGAUUCUUUACGACGCCAUCCAGCGGAUCCUUACAGAUCCCAAUAUGCCGAGAAAAUGGAUCAAGUAUCGGCCCUGGCGCGCGAUCAAAUGACAAGUCCACUGGACCGUGCCGUCUACUGGAUCGAGUACGUCAUCCGGAAUCAGGGCGCACCUCACCUUCGUAUAGCUUCGCGCAAAUUUUCCCUUUUCCUGCGCUAUCUCUUCGACGUUUUAUUCUUUGUCGUGUUUUCGGCGCUUUCGUUUUUCUAUCUAGUCUUUUACCUCUGCCGGAACAUCAUCUGUUCGAAUGGCCGGGUGAAAAUGAAUGGCCAGAAAAAAAAGACGAAUUGAUUUCUGCAUGUUUAGCACUUUCACUGUUGAAACUCCAACUGGCCGGCCCUGGCGACCCAAGCCUUUUGUUAAUUGGUAGAAAUUUAUUCAGACGUGUUAAAAGAAUGUCCCAUUAUUACUUUUAUCAUAGAUUGUUUAGAAAUUCGAAUUGUUUUCACUCACCAAUUAAAUACAAUGGUAUAAAGAUCA
This is a long non-coding RNA of Daphnia pulex (common water flea), 1982 nucleotides long. RefSeq lists it as uncharacterized. Lineage: Eukaryota; Metazoa; Arthropoda; Branchiopoda; Diplostraca; Daphniidae. The record is from RefSeq and is a predicted model, not a curated record. The transcript is spliced from 2 exons.